RNAcentral lists this ribosomal RNA (637 nucleotides) under Penicillium antarcticum. Its description in RNAcentral is "partial large subunit ribosomal RNA". It matches the Rfam family "Eukaryotic large subunit ribosomal RNA", at positions 22 to 674 of the family's 3401-position model. The record is from RNAcentral. Lineage: Eukaryota; Fungi; Ascomycota; Eurotiomycetes; Eurotiales; Aspergillaceae.
UACCCGCUGAAUUUAAGCAUAUCAAUAAGCGGAGGAAAAGAAACCAACAGGGAUUGCCUCAGUAACGGCGAGUGAAGCGGCAAGAGCUCAAAUUUGAAAGCUGGCUCCUUCGGGGUCCGCAUUGUAAUUUGCAGAGGAUACUUCGGGAGCGGUCCCCAUCUAAGUUCCCUGGAACGGGACGUCAUAGAGGGUGAAAAUCCCGUAUGGGAUGGGGUGUCCGCGCCCGUGUGAAGUUCCUUCGACGAGUCGAGUUGUUUGGGAAUGCAGCUCUAAAUGGGUGGUAAAUUUCAUCUAAAGCUAAAUAUUGGCCGGAGACCGAUAGCGCACAAGUAGAGUGAUCGAAAGAUGAAAAGCACUUUGAAAAGAGAGUUAAAAAGCACGUGAAAUUGUUGAAAGGGAAGCGCUUGCGACCAGACUCGGUCGCGGGGUUCAGCCGGCAUUCGUGCCGGUGUACUUCCCCGCGGUCGGGCCAACGUCAGUUUGGAUGGUCGGUUAAAGGCUCUCGGAAGGUAACGCCUCUAGGGGCGUCUUAUAGCCGAGGGUGCAAUACGACCUAUCCGGACUGAGGAACGCGCUUCGGCUCGGACGUUGGCAUAAUGGUCGUAAGCGACCCGUCUUGAAACACGGACCAAGGAGA